Long non-coding RNA from Octopus sinensis (East Asian common octopus), 169 nucleotides. RefSeq lists it as uncharacterized. The transcript is spliced from 3 exons. Lineage: Eukaryota; Metazoa; Mollusca; Cephalopoda; Octopoda; Octopodidae. The record is from RefSeq and is a predicted model, not a curated record.
UGCAUAUGUGUAUAUCAGUGCUCUACAACCUUUUUUUCACUUGCGGUACACUUGUAUUCUUUUCAAAAUUCUGUGGCACACCUGAACUAAAAAUAUAACUAAAAGUAUAGGGGAAAAAAUUAUAUUCAGGUUACACUGCGGCACACCUAGCAUCCUCUAACAUUAACAA